RNAcentral lists this ribosomal RNA (460 nucleotides) under uncultured bacterium. Its description in RNAcentral is "partial 16S ribosomal RNA". It matches the Rfam family "Bacterial small subunit ribosomal RNA", at positions 338 to 795 of the family's 1533-position model. The record is from RNAcentral.
CCUACGGGGGGCAGCAGUGAGGAAUAUUGGUCAAUGGGCGGAAGCCUGAACCAGCCAAGUCGCGUGGGGGAAUAAGGCCCUACGGGUCGUAAACCUCUUUUGCCGGGGAGCAAGGGCGGGGAAGUGUCCCGGCCCGGAGCGUACCCGGAGAAAAAGCAUCGGCUAACUCCGUGCCGGCAGCCGCGGUAGUACGGAGGCUGCGGGCGUUAUCAGGUUUUAUUGGGUUUAACGGGUGCGUAGGCGGGCUUUUGAGUCAGGGGUAAAAAUUCGGGGCUCAACCCCGUCCGGCCGUUGAAACUGGGGGCCAGGAGUGGGCGAGAAGAAGGCGGAAUGCGUGGUGUAGCGGUGAAAUGCAUAGAGAUCACGCAGAACCCCGAUUGCGAAGGCAGCCUUCCGGCGCCCUACUGACGCUGAGGCACGAAAGUGCGGGGAGCGAACAGGAUUAGAUACCCGGGUAGUC